Molecule: unclassified non-coding RNA, 463 nt
Filed under: Hevea brasiliensis (rubber tree)
Lineage: Eukaryota; Viridiplantae; Streptophyta; Magnoliopsida; Malpighiales; Euphorbiaceae
Source: RNAcentral
UAAUGAAUGUCGUUUUGGACUUUCUAUGCAAAGCUCACUUCCAUGUGGCCACAAACCAAUGCAAUGCAUCUCAGAACCACUUGGUCUGUUCUGCAAAUACUGAGGCACCUCAAGCAAGUUGUUCCUAUAGCAAGAUUCUCCACGAAGAACUGAGAUAGGAUCAACUUGGAGCGGAGCAUCAAAUGCUCCAGCGAGAACAAUAUCUUUGCAAUUUGAGGUAUCCAAUCCAAGGACAUUGUCCUCAUGCUUGCGUUUAUGUUUACUCUCGGGCAAAAUAGAACCCAAUCCAUUCUCAUCUCGGGGCCUGUGUUUCUUACAGAAAGGAGAGCCGCAUAAGGCGCGAUGUUUACAUUUAGUCCCAAGAACAGUGGUCCCUCCACACAUAGGUGUAUCAACAUGUGGAGAUGCAUCCACCUUAAUUGAGGUACUGGCAAAGCGAGAGGCCAAGUGCACACAACAAUAA